Molecule: long non-coding RNA, 1427 nt
Organism: Cyprinus carpio (common carp)
Lineage: Eukaryota; Metazoa; Chordata; Actinopteri; Cypriniformes; Cyprinidae
Source: Ensembl
AGCGUUUGUAACUUGUGUUUACAUUAGUUGCUUAGAAUUUUACACUUGUCUUCUUGGUGGCUUAUUUAAUUGAUAAAUCCAAAAGGCAAUCAUCGUUAACAUCUGGGGAAGAUGUUGUCAAAAUUAAGAACAGUGCAAUCAAAAAGAGAACGCGACAGAGGCUUGUGCUAAUACAAGAGUAAAUAUCGGCGUGGUGACAGCUCCGAGAUCUGAAGAGAUCUGACGCAAAUACGGCUUUUUAAAUGCUGAACAGAUCACCACCCAUGCAUGGCGAGACUGCGGCACGCUAACUGCUCACGUUUACACCGCUUGACGCUCGUCUGGUCAGGAUACCACCCUGCGGAGCUUCCCCCUGUGCUGCCACGCUACCGUAAGAGGCUCGCGUUCAGCUGUCUGCCGAGACUGGGAGACUGCGGGUGACUUUGUAGUGGAGGACAGAUGAUCCCUGUUUUUUCCAGAUCCAGGAGUGAGAGAGAAAGAGAGAGCAGGAGCUUUUUUCCUCGUCUCCACAGGGAGUGAAGAGAAAUACUGGAUCUGCAGUGUUUGGGAGCGAAUCGGUCUGGAAGCCAAACGAACCUGGCGUCACAUUGAUACAUCAGAAAUCAUAUCAUCAGCGAGAGGCUCAUUUUGCAUACUAACAGGAGAGGAGAGGGAGUCACACUUGUUCGAGAGGACACUCGUGGAAAGCCCACACAGCUCUCGGGCGCAGGCACCUGGAGGAUGUGAAUAUGAUAAGUUGUCACCUCGUCAUGGAGAUUCUCCAUUCGGCCUGGAGAGUGAGACAGUAAUAAUUUUACAGACCUUCACAGUUUCAAAAUAACUUUUAAUAUUAGAGCGGGGAAAAAAGCUGUUGAAUUAUAAACGCCCGCCGCUGCGGUUCUUUGACACCACCAUCUGUCUUUUUGAUGGAGAUGAGGAAAGAGAGAGAGAGGUACAGAGGUCAGCCCGUAACAUGGAGACGGCGAAAAAACCACAGCAGCUGCCGUAACGCCGAGACCGGAGAGUAUUUUCAUAUGCACUUCUCAUUGGGAAGCAAAUCAAACUGUGUGGUCGAUCUGAGGUGAAGGAAAGUCACUUAAAUUCUUAAACACAACAUGGGGCCUGACUGACUGCAUGUCACCUCUUUUUUCACACUGCAGAAACGGAAAACAUGUGAGAAGGAAUGGACGCCUCUGCAAUUGCUCCGACUUGGAUGCUGGCCUUCAUUUGUGUAGGAAAUGCCUGGUGUAAUGAUGCAAGUACACUUUCAUGAGAUGUAUUUACAAAACGAGCACCCCAAAAUGUUGUCAUUACCAGUGGGAACCUCUGGAUCGCUUUAAAGCCACUUUCUGAGGUUCAGAGUCAAUUAAAGAAUCAUGGUGAAAGCAAAUGGUUUCAGCAAUUGCUAAAACAGAAUAGUUCAUCCAGAAAUGAAAAUUCUGUCAGCA